AUGAACGCUGGCGGCGUGCCUAACACAUGCAAGUCGAACGAGAAAGUUUCCUUCGGGAAACCGGUAAAGUGGCGCAAGGGUGAGUAACACGUGAAUAAUCUGCCUAUGAAUUCGGGAUAACUUGACGAAAGUUGUGCUAAUACCGAAUAAGACCACGUCUCUUAUGUGGAUGUGGCCAAAGGAGUCUCAAACUCCGUUUAUAGAUGAGUUCGCGGACCAUUAGCUUGUUGGCGGGAUAAUAGCCCACCAAGGCUACGAUGGUUAGCCGGCCUGAGAGGGUGAUCGGCCACACUGGAACUGAGACACGGCCCAGACUCCUACGGGAGGCAGCAGUGGGGAAUUUUCCGCAAUGGACGAAAGUCUGACGGAGCAACGCCGCGUGAGGGAUG
RNAcentral lists this ribosomal RNA (389 nucleotides) under uncultured Nitrospina sp. RNAcentral describes it as "bacterial SSU rRNA". It matches the Rfam family "Bacterial small subunit ribosomal RNA", at positions 29 to 410 of the family's 1533-position model. Lineage: Bacteria; Pseudomonadati; Nitrospinota; Nitrospinia; Nitrospinales; Nitrospinaceae. The record is from RNAcentral.